This 1316-nucleotide ribosomal RNA is filed under the name Helicobia rapax. RNAcentral describes it as "eukaryotic LSU rRNA". It matches the Rfam family "Eukaryotic large subunit ribosomal RNA", at positions 110 to 1237 of the family's 3401-position model. The record is from RNAcentral. Lineage: Eukaryota; Metazoa; Arthropoda; Insecta; Diptera; Sarcophagidae.
CGCACUAGUCACUUUGUCUUUAUGGCAAAUGUGAGAUGCAGUGUAUGGAAUGUCAAAUUUCUAGUAUGAGAAAUUAACGAUUUAAGUCCUUCUUAAAUGAGGCCAUUUACCCAUAGAGGGUGCCAGGCCCGUAUAACGUUAAUGAUUACUAGAUGGCAUUUCCAAAGAGUCGUGUUGCUUGAUAGUGCAGCACUAAGUGGGUGGUAAACUCCAUCUAAAACUAAAUAUAACCAUGAGACCGAUAGUAAACAAGUACCGUGAGGGAAAGUUGAAAAGAACUCUGAAUAGAGAGUUAAAUAGUACGUGAAACUGCUUAGAGGUUAAGCCCGAUGAACCUGAAUAUCCAUUAUAGAAAAUUCAUCAUUAUGAUUUUAAUAUUUAUAAUAUUAUAAUAAUGGUGUGCAUUUUUUCUAUAAAGGACAUUGUAAUCUAUUAAUAUGUGGCAAAUUUAUCAUAAGAUCAAUGAUGCGUAAGUUUAUUCAAAUUAUUUUGCUUGCAAUUUAACAUAGAAUAAAUGCUCUUGAUUUGAUAAAGUGUUGAUAGAUUUAUUGUAUAUAGUGCUUAAAUAUGUAUAUUUUAUAAUAGCAUAUUAAUCAUUGAUUUUUAUGUUUAUUAUAUGCACUUAUAUGAUUAACAAUGCGAAAGAUUCAGGAUACCUUCGGGACCCGUCUUGAAACACGGACCAAGGAGUCUAACAUAUUUGCAAGUUAUUGGGUAUCAAAACCUAAUAGCGAAAUUAACAUAACUUAAUGGGAUUAGUUUUUAGAUUAUUUAUAGUCUAUUAAUUCAAUCCCGGGGCGUUCUAUAUAGUUAUGUAUAAUAAUAUUUAUAUUAUUUAUACCUCUAACUAGAGCGUACCUUGAGCAUAUAUGCUGUGACCCGAAAGAUGGUGAACUAUACUUGAUCAGGUUGAAGUCAGGGGAAACCCUGAUGGAAGACCGAAACAGUUCUGACGUGCAAAUCGAUUGUCAGAAUUGAGUAUAGGGGCGAAAGACCAAUCGAACCAUCUAGUAGCUGGUUCCCUCCGAAGUUUCCCUCAGGAUAGCUGGUGCAUUUAAAAAUUAUGUAAAAUAAUCUUAUCUGGUAAAGCGAAUGAUUAGAGGCCUUAGGGUCGAAACGACCUUAACCUAUUCUCAAACUUUAAAUGGGUAAGAACCUCACCUUUCUUGGUAUGAAGGUUGAGGUUGUGAUAUAAUGUGCCCAGUGGGCCACUUUUGGUAAGCAGAACUGGCGCUGUGGGAUGAACCAAACGUAAUGUUACGGUGCCAAAAUUAACAACUCAUGCAGAUACCAUGAAAGGCGUUGGUUGCUUAAAA